GAGCCGCUAGCUCAUCCGGUAGAGCAACGGCCUUUUAAGCCGUGGGUGCCGAGUUCAAGUCUCGGGCGGCUCACCA
Molecule: transfer RNA, 76 nt
Filed under: Omnitrophica WOR_2 bacterium SM23_29
Lineage: Bacteria; Pseudomonadati; Candidatus Omnitrophota
Description: tRNA-Lys
Rfam family: tRNA
About the family: Transfer RNA (tRNA) molecules are approximately 80 nucleotides in length. Their secondary structure includes four short double-helical elements and three loops (D, anti-codon, and T loops).
Source: RNAcentral